Molecule: ribosomal RNA, 253 nt
Filed under: uncultured bacterium
Lineage: Bacteria
Description: partial 16S ribosomal RNA
Rfam family: Bacterial small subunit ribosomal RNA
Source: RNAcentral
UACGUAGGGUGCGAGCGUUGUCCGGAAUUACUGGGCGUAAAGAGCUCGUAGGUGGUUUGUCGCGUUGUUCGUGAAAACUCACAGCUUAACUGUGGGCGUGCGGGCGAUACGGGCAGACUGGAGUACUGCAGGGGAGACUGGAAUUCCUGGUGUAGCGGUGGAAUGCGCAGAUAUCAGGAGGAACACCGGUGGCGAAGGCGGGUCUCUGGGACGUGACUGACGCUGAGACGCGAAAGCGUGGGGAGCAAACAGG